This 301-nucleotide ribosomal RNA is filed under the name uncultured bacterium. Its description in RNAcentral is "partial 16S ribosomal RNA". It matches the Rfam family "Bacterial small subunit ribosomal RNA", at positions 509 to 809 of the family's 1533-position model. The record is from RNAcentral.
CAGUCGCCGCGGUAAUACGUAGGUGGCAAGCGUUGUCCGGAAUUAUUGGGCGUAAAGGGCUCGCAGGCGGUUUCUUAAGUCUGAUGUGAAAGUCCCCGGCUCAACCGGGGAGGGUCAUUGGAAACUGGGAAACUUGAGUGCAGAAGAGGAGAGCGGAAUUCCACGUGUAGCGGUGAAAUGCGUAGAGAUGUAGAGGAACACCAGUGGCGAAGGCGGCUCUCUGGACUGUAACUGACGCUGAGGCGCAAAAGCGUGGGGAGCAAACAGGAUUAGAGACCCCAGUAGUCCCUGUCUCUUAUAA